Oncorhynchus tshawytscha (Chinook salmon) is the source of this 266-nucleotide long non-coding RNA. The record is from Ensembl. Lineage: Eukaryota; Metazoa; Chordata; Actinopteri; Salmoniformes; Salmonidae.
UAGAACUUUAAAGAAGAAGUAGUGCCCUCGUAUCAACGUGGCGUUUGUGUCGAACUCGAUAAAGUUAAAAGAAAGAACUAUUCUGUUACGCCAAGGCUUCCAUGUCUUCUCCCUGGACCUCCUCAAUGUCCACCUCUUGAACAUCAGACUCCUAGGCCUCAUCUUCACUGUCGCUUUCCAACCCUGUUGAGGUUAGCUUGUUGUCGGGCUCAAAAAGACUAAAAUUUGCCCAGAUGGCAAACACUUUUUCAACCCUUGUAAUGGUC